ACUCUUGUCCAUUAGACUCUUCUGACACAAUCUUUGGACUGAUUUAAAUUAAAUAAAUGAGGUAUAUGAUAGUGUUAAAAUUCAGGGAUUACAUGGGUUAAGUUUUAUAGGUUUUAUAGUUCAUACCUUUUCUUACGACUCGUAUAAAACUGAACAAAACACAUCACUUCUGCUAGUUUGGAUUUGGAUACAUAUUUCAUGAGAUCCAGUUCAAAAUGAAAAAAGAUACAUAUGCUAAAAUGAAACAUUCUUAAUUAGUAAAAGUGCCAGGAAUGAUCGAGUGCAAUGCCAUAAAAGAAAUAUCUUUGGUUUCCUGAAGAUUCUUUGAUUCUUAACCAUUUUUAUAGCCACAGAAAGAGCAAUAAUCAUUUUCUCAGUACAGCAUGGUAACAUACACGGUGUAAACCACAAGGUUGUUUAGGACACCAAAAUGUUUUUUGUUAGAGUAUAUGCCAUUUUCCUCACUAAGUCAUGACCUUCUCAAAGAAUCUUUGAAUAAAUGGACUGAUUAGAUAUAAAAUUGAUUAGAGUUAAUAAAAAAGGUCAUGUGAUACACUCCACCCGCUACCAUUGUUCCUUUUUUUUAGCUGAUAUGAACCUCGUGCACGUUUUUCCUCCGAGCUCAUGGGCCAGCUGAGAGCAUGAGAACGAAACCUCCUCAAUAGCAGCAGCCUCAUAUUUGGUGAGUAACCAUGGAAGCAGAAGCGCACUGCCUCUGCCCUUCUUACCUCUCCGCACCCGUGGGUCGUUCCCUCACUGAAAAAAGGGCACGCCUCACUUUCUUCCUCCUGACCCAACUCGCCUUUCGCCUCCACAAAGGCCAAAGCCGCCGGUCACCGCCGCUCUACCGGUCUAGACGUGUCUGCAUGGUCCAGCCUUGAUCUAGAAAGUCCCUUCGCUUAGAGGAGAAUGAAGCAGGGGGACGACAGAGACGCCGGUUUGAAAAGGAGCCCCGUCUGAUUUGGCCAGAGUGCCCAUUCUAUCAUCGAUCGGACGGAUGUUACUAUAUAUACCCAAUAAAAAUAUACUUACAAAAAACAUCCCCUCACAUGAAUUCCCAGAAGAUCUGAAGUGUGCAUGAGAAUCAAACCACGGCUCUUUGGUAUCCGAUAUAAACAUCUUACAUCACCUUUGGGAAGUUCCCUUGCAUGACACGGCCCUGAGCCGGUCAUGAUGCUUUUGGACGCCCUGGGACGUCAGCAUGACGACUGUGGCCAACUGGAGCACAAUAACAAAUACGUUACAGCUCCUUAAGGCAAGCUGUGAACUUUCAGACUUUCACAACUAGCUUUAUCACAUUUCCACAUGAGCCGUUUAUCCGUAAUCACAGCUCGUGUUGGGAACAAGUUCAAGCUCAUGUGAUCAAGACAUACUUCCUCUGCCUGUUAACGUGCUGUCACAAGACGUGAGUAUGCUCAAAAGUGAAGCUGAGCAAAGUGAAGCUGAGCAAAGGGAGUCAGCCAGCUGUCAGACAUUCUUACACAAUCUCUACACUUGCACAUAUUUCGGUGUGGACUUCUGAUCGGAAGGUUGAGAGUUCAAAUCCCAGCACCACCAAGCUGCCACUGCUGGGCCCUUGAGCAAGGCCCUUAACCCUCAACUGCCCAGUUGUAUAAAUGAGAUAAUUGCAAGUCACUCUGGAUAAGUGCGUUUGCCAAAUGUCGUAAAUGUAAGUGUUCUCCUUGUUUUUAAAAGAUCUGUAAUCAACCAAAUCACCCUCGUUUGUUUAAAUUCAGACCAUCUUCUAAUUUUUAGCAUCCACAUUUCCCACUGAGACCUGCUAAUCCAUAAACAUCAAAUUUAGAUGGAUUAAAAAUGAAGUUUGUUUUUGAGAAUUGUCAGGACCUAAAAUGUCCUGGAAAACCACAAAAAAUGACAGCAAGAUAGUCAUGACAAAGCACUUUUUAAAAAAAUGAAAGUUAGAUGAUUCUUUUUUUU
Pangasianodon hypophthalmus (striped catfish) is the source of this 1938-nucleotide long non-coding RNA. RefSeq lists it as uncharacterized. The transcript has 2 exons. NCBI's taxonomy places the organism in Eukaryota, Metazoa, Chordata, Actinopteri, Siluriformes, Pangasiidae. The record is from RefSeq and is a predicted model, not a curated record.